Molecule: long non-coding RNA, 915 nt
Organism: Eleginops maclovinus (Patagonian blennie)
Lineage: Eukaryota; Metazoa; Chordata; Actinopteri; Perciformes; Eleginopidae
Exons: 4
Source: RefSeq, a predicted model, not a curated record
UAAGCAAGACCUGAAACAGAAGGAAAUAAUUAGCCUGGAGGUAACAAAGUCUUCCUAGAUGCAAAUUUAACAAAGGUUUAAAAACAUCGGCUCUUUUUUGUGUAACUUCACUAGGUUAGCUUUUUUACUCCUCUUUAGUCUUACCACUAAUCUAACUGGCUAAUGGCCUUGAGCAUUAUAUUGAACACACAGAGAGUGUUAUUGAUCUUCCAGUCAAAAUUCUCACGUACAAAACAGAUACUCAAACUACCCAAAAUAUUGAUCUAUCCUUCAAAACUUUGAAUUGAACCUGAAUUUAAAAAGAAAAGUAUUAAAACUUAUCAAUUGUCUUCAUUUUCAGACCUGAGAUCUGUUCCAGCGUUUGCGGAGGCCACCAUGAGUAUUAUUUUUACAUCAACUGGUCCUAUGUAUUUAUCCAUUGCACAAAUCCUAUAUGUGUACAUCCCAUCAUGAAGUAAGAACUUACCUGGGUAAAGGCUUUGUCGGUCCAGAGGAGGAGCCAACCUCUUGUUUGAGUGUCUUCUCAUAGGGAACACUUUUUUCCGAAGUGGGAUCUGAGCUGUAGGAUCGAGUUGUUGCCCGGCACAAGGGAGAGAGAGGAGGCCGAACUGCUGACACCACCCGCCAAACUGCGCUCCCAAGGAAGGCCAUGGCCCCUGUGGUUGCUCCCCUUGAGACACGCAAGAGAGUACUCCUGCCAAAGAGAAAGAUUUACAGAAGAUCAUUUCCCUGCCUGGACAUAUAAUAUUGGGGGCAGCAGUGGUCUAGGGACUUGGACUUUAGACUGAAGAGUCGCCGGUUCACGGUCAAGUCCCGAUCAGAACAAGAAAGACGGAGUGUGGACUGGUACUGGAGAGCAGCCAGAUCACCUCCUGGGCCACUUGAGCAAGGCACCAAACAACCAACUGCUCCCUG